AAGAAGAAUUUAAAGGAAAACAUCACAGAGUAUGGUGUUGAACGCGUUGACAAUGUCCAACGAGACCGCCAACGUCACCUCGCUUUGGGAAACGAUAACCCCCGACACGGCUUGCACACGAUUUACCGCGUCCACCGUCGAGCGGUCCCGCCAGAAGCUGUACUGGCUUUCGUGCAAACCGGGCACUCGCACUAACAUAUGGGCCUUCAGACAGGCGGCAAUUACUCUUUCAAAGAGUUUGUUCACCUCAUCUAAUAGGCACACUUGCCGAUCAUAUUACAGUGCCUGGAUUCGUUUGAACUAGUCGGCAAACGAUGAAAGUUAUUUAUGUUAAAAAUUAUGAUUAAUUAUGUUAAUAUAAAUAACAAAAAUAAAAUUAAUAAAAUAAACAAUAAAAUUAUUAUUAUGAUAAGAAAUCAAACGUAUCUUUAAAUGACAGAUUUAACAUCGGUAUUCGGUAAUUCAUAGAUGGCUUGUAAUAUUUGAUUCUAGUAGUAAGCGUACAUGUUACAUUGUUGUUAUUCUCAAUGUCCUCGCAAGCACAGAUUCGAAAUUAAGUCGCUAACCCUAUAUGUUACACUGACUUCUAAAUUUAUCUCAGCUCCAAGCCUCAACUGUCAUUCUAUCCUUGUAAAAAGUAAAUUUUAAUGAUUUUACGUCAGCUUCGUAUAUAAUCGUGUUCUGAUAUUCCAAAAGCAAAUAAUAGUGGAUAUUUUUUGAAAAAAUACAAUGUCUUACUCUUCCAGAUUUUAAUAGAUACAUUUUUCCUUCUGAGAUACCCCCGAAUUAUCCAGCGAUUGCCUUUUGUUUAAAUGUUUAGUAUUAAAGAUAAUGACACGUAAUGGUACGAGAGAAAGAAACAAAAGGAUAAAGGAUAGUGUGCUAGUGUAUCGCGUUCGUGUCUAUAUGUCGGGUUGGCGUUAGGAUGAGGGUUAGGGGCGUUCAAUGAAUCUUCACUGGAAUUAGCCAUCGAUGCGGUGCAACAAAGGACCUACACCUCACAAUUGGUGACCCCGACGUGAUCUACAGUAACAAAAGAGGUGUGACUGUGAUAGCGCUACCAAGACUUCCAUCAUUGCGAAUCUAAGACUGUGGCAAGCUGGACCUCUACCACUACGACAAACGCGGAACGGCUUUUCCAUCUUCAGCAAACCUCGACACCUCACCUCCGAUCGACGCGCAAAGCAGGUGGUGAGAUACGAGACGAUGACCAAGCCUGGAGUGAUGUGGCCAUUACAAAGUUCAUGGACGUGAUGCCCACCAGCACGCCAUAAUAAAAAGAGGAACAGAGGCCUACGACCGUACGCAAACACCCCGCACCGUACCGACAAGUAUCCACCGUCACAUCGAAAGACUUUGCGCAACAUAUGCACAGGCUUGACAACAAUCGGCUAACGCUUUACCACACAAAGAAGAAACGUUAUCACUGGUAAAGAGGUACUGUGACGGCACUCGACAGCAAAUACGACCACUCGACACUAACUAUUGUCGGAUGACAGCAGCGCAGUGGUUAGCGUCUUAGAUUACGAACGUUCGGAACCCGGAUUCAAAUCCCGGCGAUCAUAGUCCGAUUCUUCUUAAAUGAGAAGAAAAACAGCAUUACCCCAGCAGCGACAUAUACGCCCGUAGCAGAACCUAUCUCCAGCUGCCACACUAGCAGUAGCGCACUAUCACCACAAACAACUACUAUACUCCACCUCAUAUCUCUUCUAUUAUUGAACUGAAUGAAUUUCGGAGUGGGAUGUCUUAUAGCCAUUGUUGUUUUUUUGUAUCUGAAAAUUUCAUAGCGUUUGUGCCUAUUUUAUGCGUUUUGUGUGCUGUUGCUAUCUUCCAGUGUUCACCUUGAUAUGAUAGUUCGUCAUUGUAGCUAUUUUCUUCGUGGUUUUGCAACGUUUCCAUUACUUUUGUCGUCAUUCUACCGUCGACUGCCAAAGUGCGUAGACAUGUAUCUAAUGCUCAGUGAAGUUUACAAUACAAGUGACGACCCUUCGUCGAAAGUGAAUUGAAACAGAAAUAAACCAAGUGUUUUCUAAACUUACUCGUGGAAAAUCCGACACUCCUAAUCUUUAAUCCAAACGACAACCUCUCGCAUAGCAUUGCAUGCAUAGCACGCAAUAUUUCGCUGCAUAGUGACGAGCGACAACUUGCAGCCGGAACACCUUCAGUUUCACGACGACACGAGUGAUCUUCGGAAAGAACAUCUUCCUCACGAAGCUCACAAUAUUCCCCUGCACAGUGACGAGCGACAACUGCAGCCGGAACAACUCCGCAUCGGGAAUCAUUGAUCGCACAUCAUAAGUAUCACCUUCGUUAACGAAGUAUCCUCAUCAAGAAGCAUAACCCAUUGGUUGAGGAACGCAACCACGCAAUCUCUCGCCGCAGCUGGACAAUCAUCAACGCAACGAAUUCCAACAACAACGAAAUCUCGCAACGACAAGAAUGCCGACUGCGUAAAAAAUCAACAUCAUGCUACAAAAACGCGAUAAAUAUCUCGGCAUCAUCCUGACCAUACAGAAAUGUAUCGACCAGUAUCAAUAAGCUAACAAGAAUGACGAUUGUCUCUUGAAAACAUAUCAAGCCCAACUCGAGGAAGAGUGGAAACGAUUCCGACUCGCCCAAGAGGAUUUAGAGGACCUCGGCGAAGCGGACUCCACGUUGGAAAUAGACACGUUAGAAAUUUUCAUUUCCCUGGGAGGUCGACUAAAGAAUCUGAUACAGGGCAAGCGAUCAGCAAUCCCGUCAAUACCGAAGGGCAGCAAUACGUCUAACCAUUUCCAGGGAAGUAAGAGAAACUUAAAUAAAAAACAUCAUAUUGAAUCAAACGCCGAUCCCGUCGCAUGACACGCGGAGCUCAUUACAUGCCACUCGCAACGUGUCAUCUACACGCGACCUGACGACAACCACGUUCGCAUCGUCAGCAUCUUAACAAUCUGAUUCAACGCCACCAAACGCCUUGAAUCAGAUAACCGCUCACGAUCCUCUGGACCGGAAGAAAGAGAAAACCUCACCAGGCGACAAGCCGUCGCAGACGCUGAUCUUUCCGAAUUCGUUACAAGAUGUGCGAUGCCCUGUAACUGUAAUUCAUAACGUAGAGAGUAACGGAUUAAAUCCCGUCAAUGACACCGAGGUCAAUCUAGAGUCGAAACCUAUGGUAGACUCUCCGGAAUCCACGAUGAUCGAACGAUCAAGGAGCAGACUUUCCUCGAUCAGCACUUCGACGGUUAAUAACCUGUCCUGCACCACGUUACCUGUUCCACCUAACAUGAAUAUCGCAUCGGAAAGUCAUUCUCUGGGACAUAACGAGAAGACUUCUCCUUCGCCAUGACCGAAAGGGGUCACACCUGCGAGUAACCCGAAUCGGAAUAAUCUCCACAUUGUUGCCACCGUGACUAGUCACUCAAUUGAUGAUUUUCAGAACACCCCAUCGGAUCUCAACAUUUGUCCACUGAGCCCACAGAUCGCUACAUCGGACAAGUCUCUGACCACCACCUUCUCCCUGGAGUCACCCUUGGCUCCAACAAUGCCGGCACAUUCACCUUUGUCAAAACAAGUUCCAAUCACGGACUUCACGAAGCCGAACGUCCCUUCACCAACCAUGACAUCUUUCACACUUUCACAGCCGAGACGAAGAUGAGAACGAGAAGGUCAAAAGAACGCGCAAUAUUGUCAAGGGUCUGAUGUUUUGGAAUUCCACUAUCAAGGUCCUUCAGGAGAUAACUUAUCACAAUACAAAGAAACGUGGAAUCCUCCAGAGCAACCAAACCUGGCCUCCCACCGAUGAGCUCGCCAGGAAGGACGAACCAGCACAUUCUAUGCACAGUCCCAACAUGGUGACACUCCCCGGAAAGAAAGCAAGGCCUAAUGCUAGACAAUUCAGAGCUCAACUGUUCCUUGAAACCAGAGUCUAGGCAGAACAGUCUGGGUUACACGGAACCAGCGGACGCUAUCGCACACCUUCGCCAUUUCCGAAAAGGGCCACACCUAAAAGUGACUCGAAUCGGAAUAACUUCCACGUUAUCGCCAUCAUGGCGAAUCACUCUGAUGAUAUCGAUGGUUUACAGAACGCCCCAUCGGAUCUCUACACUUGUCUACUGAGUCCACAGAUCGCUACAUCGGACAAGUCUCGGACCAGAGAUAUCUCACUGAAGUCACCCUUGGCUCCAACGACACCGGCAUACUCUACAAUGUCAAAACAAGUCCUAGUCACGACGUACAACGCUCCUUCUCCACCAAGAAUCAUCACCCAGAAAACGCAAUUCGAACAGAUCAUCGGGAGGAGCCCAGUCUCCCAAUCAACUACAAAACUCCACAUCGUGUUUGACGAAUCUGCAUCAAGCACUACCGAAGUUCCUUUCAGCGAUACAGCACCGGAUAAGGACCGACACAAUGAAGCAGAAUGAUAAAAUACGCCUGCAAAUGUAAAUCUUAACCCAUUGCAGCCAAUCGAAUGAAAGAAAUCUAACCAAACGGAAGCUACGAUGCCUCUGAUUUCAUCUUCCAUGGAUAAUGGGACCCAUAAGCUCAACACUUGUUUACUGAAUCCACGGAGUUACCCUUACCUUCAACGACGUCGGUACUCUGUCCAACGUCAACUUAAGUCACAAUCACGGACGCCAUGACGCCCAACGCCCUCUCACCACCAAGGAUCAUCAGCAAGAAAGUGCGAGACGGAUGGGUCAGCGGGAGGAGCCUCUCUGCCAAUCAACCAUAACCAUCAUUCGCGCCUCCACGAUGAAUCUACCUAGGGACCUCACUUGUUGGGCCGACGUGUUCCACGACACUUCGUGAGCAGUGGUGUUACACGACUCUUGCUCGUCCGACGUGUUCCAUGACACCUCCUAGGACGAGGUGUUCCACGACAUAUCCAAAAUCAAUGCGUUUCGCGACACGUCUUGAGUCGUGAACACCAGCAUGAACUUUAUUGACCACGACAAGGAAGACUACCAUCUGCACUGCGAGGUAAACGACGAGCCCUCAACGCAACGGACCUUCAGCCGUAUCAUCAAAUUCGCCCUGGCGGCGACGGCAUCAUCCAGACGACCACAGCUUAUGCGGCAACGAGCAUCUUGGAUCGCGGUGACAAACAGCUUGUCCCACUAUCGAGCCAACCCGAUCCAGCAGAAUACAGACAAUCAGCAAUCGACAAGAAGUUGAAUGGGAAGUCCAACUAAUUUUACCUUUUAGAACUGUAGCGGCACUCGACAACAAAUACCGCCAUUCGACACUAACAACGGACACGGUGGCGAUGUGGACUGUCCUGUUUUUGCGAUCACUGUCCUGUUUUUGCGACCAGGCUUUCAGGACAGAAAUGGAAAGAAAAAAAAAGACAAUAUCGUACAUAAGCACCGCUCUACAGCGGCGUAAAUUUAAGUUACAAAAGUAAUCUUAAAAAGAAAAAAAAAGAUGUAAUAUUGCAUGGCUAUGUCGUACCGUCGUGUAUCGGUACUUUUGCCUGAACCACCCCACAACCAGAAUUCAUCGUUUAUAAUGGAAAUACAAAUAUGUAAUACACAAAAUCUGGUUAUAAUAAACGGAAAAAAAAAAGAAAAACGGUGGCGAAGUGGUUAGCGCCUUAGGUUACGAACGUUCGGGACCCAGGUUCGACUCCCGGCGCCCGUAGUACGAAUUUUCUUCCACGCAUCAAAAAUAGAUAAAUAAUAGCAGUACCCCAGCAGCAACAUCUACAGCCAGAGCUACAAUUAAUCCGGACCAGGACCAGCGACAAUCAUCACGGACAACAUAUAUAUACCACCUCAUAUAAUUCAAAUUAUACCUGUUUGAUCUCGUUUUAAUCGGAAAGAUUACAAAUACGUUAGUAGAAAUUUAAUUUUAAAAAAGUCAAAAAUAAAAUUUAUUUUUUAAAUUAGUACCUACAUGCAUUGUCUCAGCGAUAUCUGACAUUAUAUCAUGUUACACUAUUCUACCGCGGUGGACCAUCGAGUUUUCCACUGCAUCAAGGGGAAUCUCCCUGUCUGUGGUAGGAAUGACUACUAUGCAAUUACCGAAAGGUUCAAUUAUUGGAGGUUUCCUUCGAAAAAAAAACCACGGUACAACUACAGCAAAUUCUGUCUAUAAUUGUGCGGGUGUGACAGUGUCACAGAUCCAUAAAUUAGGAAUAGAAAAACGAAGGGGGCCUAACGAACAUCCUGCAGGCCAUCAAAGCAACAACGUAAACAGUGUCCCAGCGUUAGAAGAGAGUAACAGCAUGGCAACUUCUGACCUCGGCCUCGGUGACACCACCGGCAACACCCCCUCCAUAAGAGCCAAACCUAUAGUAUAUAAACCUUCCCAAAAUCAGCUCUCGACACUCUGUCCUGACAUUUUUAACUGUCACUCUGUUGAAUUCACAUAAUCAAUUCUCGAACUGUUCUGUUUUUGCGUCCAGGUUUUCAGGACAUAAAUUAAAAUAUCGUACAUAAGCACAGCGUAACAGCGGAUUAAAUUUAAGGCACAAUAAUAAUCUUAAAAAAAAAAAAA
Long non-coding RNA from Bombus terrestris (buff-tailed bumblebee), 6477 nucleotides. RefSeq lists it as uncharacterized. The transcript is spliced from 3 exons. Lineage: Eukaryota; Metazoa; Arthropoda; Insecta; Hymenoptera; Apidae. The record is from RefSeq and is a predicted model, not a curated record.